GUCUUUUUGAGUUAUUUUUAAAGUCUGACCUGCCCACUGAAUUUUUGAAUGGCCGCAGUAUUUUAACUGUGCAAAGGUAGCAUAAUCAUUAGUCUUUUAAUUGAAGGCUGGUAUGAACGGUUGGACGAAGUAUAAGCUGUUUCAUAUAAAUUUAUAAUAGAAUUUUAUAUUUUAGUCAAAAAGCUAAAAUAUAUUUAAAAGACGAGAAGACCCUAUAAAUCUUUAUAUUUUUUAUAAUUUAAAUUUUUUUGAUUUAGUUUAUUUUUAUUGUAUUAAAUAUUUUGUUGGGGUGAUGUUAAAAUUUAAUGAACUUUUAAUUAUUUUAAAUCAUUAAUUUAUGAGUUAUUGAUCCGUUAUUAGUGAUUAUAAGAUUAAGUUACUUUAGGGAUAACAGCGUAAUUUUUUUGGAGAGUUCUUAUCGAUAAAAAAGUUUGCGACCUCGAUGUUGGAUUAAGAUAUAAUUUUAGGUGUAGCCGCUUAAAUAUUGAGUCUGUUCGACUUUUAAAUUCUU
This 511-nucleotide ribosomal RNA is filed under the name Dacus pulchralis. RNAcentral describes it as "partial 16S ribosomal RNA". The stretch from base 387 to 511 matches the Rfam family "Bacterial large subunit ribosomal RNA", at positions 2473 to 2597 of the family's 2925-position model. The record is from RNAcentral. Lineage: Eukaryota; Metazoa; Arthropoda; Insecta; Diptera; Tephritidae.